Non-coding RNA from Vicugna pacos (alpaca), 3407 nucleotides. The record is from RefSeq and is a predicted model, not a curated record. Lineage: Eukaryota; Metazoa; Chordata; Mammalia; Artiodactyla; Camelidae.
UUUAUUUUAUUUUUUAAGAAAACAGAGUUUCUUCUCAAUGGGGGGGGGGGGAUCAAAGUUUUUUCUUUCCAAAGAUUCAGAGUCGUUUCCAGUGUCACUGGGAGCAAGGGUGGAUCUUCGGUGGGCAUGUCAGCCCAACGUCUCAGUGAUACCCUCCUGCUGCUCCUGUCCGUGAGGCACAUGGGAAGUUCAGGGGAUGGCUGCUGGUACCGAAGUGCCGUAUGAGAAAGGAGCGGCUUUGUUUCAGCCGUUCCCGCACGUUAGCAUGAGGAGGGAGGCCUGAUGGGAAAGAAAUACGUACCGGUAACUCAAGGCUUUUCUGGUGGAGUGUGAGCUGAGCGAGACCUGCGGAAAAGCCCCUUAACUGGGCUGCUCCAAAGGCGCCAGACUUCCCAGGACUCUCUUAACAGAAGCUCCUCGGGAACUUCAGAUAUCUUGGCUCAAGCUGCCAGGCACGGAGCGUCCACUAACACUGAAGAGCGAAAGCCUAUUUGCACAGAGCUGCCAGAAUGCUACUGCUGAAACGAAGGUCCGAUCACGCGGUCUCCCUGUUCAAAACCUGCCAGUGAAUUCCUGUGUGACCCAGAGUGAGAGCCGAAGACCCGCAGUGGUCUCACACGACCUGGCCCUCUUCCUGGUCAGCUGUAUGAGGACCACACCUUCUACCCCUUCCUCUGUGGCUCACUCCACAACAGCCACACCGGCCUCCACGCUGUGCCCUUGGACAAGGCUGCUCUAACUCCACAUCCCAUCGUGGCCCCCUCCCUCACUUCCUGCAGGCUUUUAUAUAAAGCUAGCUUCUCCAUGAGGGCAUCCUGCACCACCCUGCCUAACAUCUCAACCACUCAAUCACUCACAUCCCCAUUCCUGCUUCCUUUGUUUGUUUCACACUUAUCACCAAUGGACUACAUAUUGUACUUAUUUAUCUUGUUUGUCUCCCCUCUCUAGAAUCUACUCUCCAUGGAGCCGGGGAUUUUGGUCUCUUCAUUCUCUUGUACUCCCAGUGCCUAACGCAUAGUGGGUAUACCGUCAAUAUUUGUUGAAUGAGUGAAUGAGUUUGUAACAGAUACCUGCUUUGCUCCACUCAUGAUGUCCUCCAUCUCACAUGAGAGCAUCCUUUACAGACACUUAACUUUUCUUCACAUGACCAUGUGUGCCUUUAUCAGGUAGCACAGGACUUCCUCCAAGUUUUCCACACCUCUCUCCAGGCUUUCUUCUAGAUCUUCAUGACCACUUCUGGGUCACAUGACAAUCCCUACUUCAGUCACUGGCAGAAAGAAAUGGGACCACCACGGCUGUCAUUGUUCAAUCAGGAUUUAACCCCUGUACCUGCGCAGAUGGCUGCUGGAAUGAAAUUGGAGUAACAGGAAGACUGUGGUGAUUUUACAUAGGAAAAUAAGUGCCAGAUCCAUGAAUUGCAGUUUCAUGUCUGUGAUCACAUUUAAGCUUCAACAUCCUUAUGAGGAAGGAUAGGCAAGUACCCUGACCAUUUUCACAGAAGAGGAAACAAAGACCCAGAGAGGUUCCCAACAUGCCAAGGACAUGCAGUAGGUCAGAGGCAGGCUGGGCAUGGUCUGCCUGGGUUCUGGGUUCUGCAGAAGCAAGAUGGUUUGGAGAGACCCAGAAUUUUAUUUCACUCCACACAAAAAACUAUACGACCUCAAACAGCUGUUUUGAUCCCUCAGGGUCUCAGUUUCUUCGUCUAUAAAAUGGAGAUCACAUCCCUUUCUUGUUCCAGAACUCUGUGUGGGCUGAUUAAUCAUUAAGGUCUCUUCUUAUCUAUUAAACUCCAGCUCAGGCAGAGAAACAGGAGUGAGUGAUUGGACUUUGAACCUGGCAGAGCCAGAAGAGAAGAAUUAGGUUUCUUUGUAAUGAUGUAUUUUUUUAAAAAACCCUUUUGUUCUGAAAAUAAAUACAUAUGAGUGAACUUUUUAAACCUGAGUCUGUUCCCAGGGACUCUCCCUUGCAUUGCAUCUCUAAAUGCUUCAAGUUCCGGCUUUGACAUUGGAGGAAGCUGUGUUCCUCAGCGGGUUGUCUGGUCCCCAUUUAGAGACCAAGUCCCUGAGAAUCCGGAGUUGGGAUUUUCCUCUGCGGAACUCCUUCAUGGGGCCCGUUGCAUGGGCCUUUGUAGCCUGAUGAUGCUUUGCUGGGCCAGGGUCCCGGUGCCUGCCAUUGCCAGGCUGCCACCAUUCUAAAUUCUGCUUCGGGCUUCUCAUUCCCGUGCAUAAUUCCCAAUGUGACGCCUGCCCUAGAGAUUCAAGUGUUUCUGCAAAAGGAAUGGCUUUAUGGGAAGAAAAUGAUUACUUAAUAAUUUACUGAACAUUGUGUUUCAAGUUCUAUACCCAUAUAAUGCAUUUUCCAAUCUUCUAAUUUUAUAGAUCUACAUCUUUUCCCUUUCAGCAAUGUCAAAAUUAAUAUUUCAUAAUUCCGUCCUUUUGUAUAGAAAUUUAAGGUGUUCCACAUAUUAUCUUGUGUGACUUUACAAUUAAGAAAAAUUAUGUAACUUGCACAAAGUUGUUUAGCUGGUUAAGAACAGAGUUGAGACUGGACCCUAGGGCUGCCAGGCUGCCUCAGAAGUGUCACACCCAGUGACACAAUUUUCAGACUUCCAAAAUUGACAUUUAUUUGUACCUUCAAUCACCCACUGUCAGAAUUUUAAGGUUUAUCAUUUCUGAAAAACAUGGAUAGGGAAUUUUACCUGCAGAAAGCUGCUUCUAAAUUUAUUACUUAAGCCAGGGAUUGGCAAAUUUUUUCUGUAAAGGGCUGGAUAGUAAAUAUUUUAGGCUUUGUGGUUCAGAUAAUUCCCAUUGCAACAACUCAUCUCUGCCGUUGUAGUGAGAAGGCAGCACAAUGUGUAAACAAAUCAGCGUGGCUGUGUUUCAAUAAAACUUUACGAGAACAGGUGGUAGGCUGCAUUUGGCCCAUGUGCUAUUGUUUGCUGACCUCUGACUGAGGCUGUGGUGCUAUUAAGAUUAUGCACUCUUUUACAUGACACUUUAAAAGGCAUCAGUAAAAUUAUUUGUCUCUGAUUUUCUUAGUCAAAUAGGAAGGUGAAAUUUGUUUCACGAAAUAUUUAUCCUGGUACUUCAGAAAAGUCUCUACACAUUUACCUCGCCGAAAUAUUUCACAAACUUGACGAAAUGUCACAGGCUCAAAGAAUGUUAGCAUACAGGGAUAUCUGAGAUAAUUCAAUCUAAGACCCUCAUUGUAUAGGUGGGGAAACAAAGGAAGUUUUUCAACUUUUCAUCCAAAAGAAGUACAAGUUUGAAUUUAGAAGACCAAUGAUUGAUGAGCUAGAGCUUAAUGUGUAGUUGAAAUAUUGAUAUUUCUUUGCUGAAGCGUAAACUGUAUUAUAUAUCUAAAGAACUACACAUUUGCAGCAACAUAGAUGGACCUGGAGAUAUUCA